Small nuclear RNA from Salmo trutta (river trout), 53 nucleotides. Its record names the gene U7. It matches the Rfam family "U7 small nuclear RNA". Rfam says of the family: Animal histone pre-mRNAs are spliced by a different mechanism than nuclear pre-mRNAs and self-splicing introns. This processing involves the U7 snRNP, which contains only one RNA species: U7. The record is from Ensembl. NCBI's taxonomy places the organism in Eukaryota, Metazoa, Chordata, Actinopteri, Salmoniformes, Salmonidae.
GAAAAUUUGCUCUUAGUAUUUCUCCAGUAGGUUUCUUCAAGGAGAAUGCCCCC